ACUCUAAAUUUACCAUGCCUAUCUAAAGAAAAAGCAGAUAUGCCAGAAACAUUAAAUGAACUCAAAAAAGCUCUACAAGCAAUGAAGAAAGGGAAAGCUCCUGGUAUGGAUGGUAUACUUAUUUAAUGGUAUAUUUAUUUAACAUUCUUUUCCCAACUAGGUCUGCCUCAGAGGGAUGCGAACACGGCAAUGAUCACUCUUCUUCUCAAACCACAAAAAGACCCAACCUCCUGCAGCAGUUAUCAUCCCCUCUCUUUGAUUGGAUCAGAUGUCAAAUUAUUUGCCAAGGUGCUUGCAACACACCUUGGAACAUAUAUGACUAAAUUAGUUCACCAUGAUCACACAGGGUUUAUUAAAAAUCGACUUGCCUGAUUCGGCUCUCCCCACUUUACUCACCAAUAAGCAUUAAUAAUACUCAUCAUUACAUUUCUUUAUAUGCUGAUGACAUUCUGCUUUUAAUUAAUAAUGUACCUGAAACACUUCCUCAUUCCUCAUAUCCACUCUGGAUAUUUUUUGCAGUCACUGUGGGUAUAAGGUCAAUAACACAAAAUCUGCACUUCUUCCUUUGAAUGAUGCCAUGAGGAAGACAAAUCUGACUUCUUUAAUUAUCCAUAUAGUACAUCAAUUUAGGUACCUUGGGAUUGAAAUUCAUUCAUCCCUUCAAUUAACAGUUAAGAAAAAUUUUAACCAGAUAUUUAAUAAAAUCUGUGAUGAUAUGAGGAACUGGAGUUGUUUCACCUAGGAUUGAAAAUUUAUAUUCUCCCUAGAGUUAAUGUAAUAAGUUCUAUAAUUCCGUUACCUCCUCCUGUAGGUUUCUGGGACAAACUUCACUCUUGUAUCUCAGCUUAUAUAUGGAAAGGCAAGAAACUUCGAAUUAAACUUGCUACUCUUCAGCGUAAUAAAGCAGACUGAGGACUUUCUCUUCCUAAUUUUAAAUUAUAUUAUUAUUCCUUUGUUAUUUGUCCAUUGUCAGUUUGGCUCAAUUCAGAUACUCAAACAUCUUGGCGGUUUCUUGAGGAAAGUCUGGUUGCUCCACAUAGAUUACAAGAUCUCAUCUACUCGAAUAAUCCUAUAAAGCAAUGUAAACUGAGACAUGGUCCUCUAAUUAGUAACUUACUUGUGACAUGGCGGGUGAUAGAAAAACUAACUAAAACCACAAUUGUCUGGCACAAAUGCUCCCCAGUUUUUCGCAACUAUAAAUUACUAACUGCCAAUAAGCCUUUCUUCUUUCCUCAAUGGCAACAAAAGGGAAUAUAUGUUCUGGAUGACAUCUUUAAUGAUUCGGGACUUCGGACAUUCCAAGACUUGCUCGCAUUUUAUAGUAUACCAGGUUUCUUGGUUGGGUAUCCAAAGUUUAUGUUAUUGUGCUACGUGCUGUAUAUAAAACUUUAGGUCUACAAACCAUAUGGGAAAAAGAGCUAAAAAGUGCCCAAGGUCAAAUCAAUUUGCCUAUUAUAUGGAAUAACAUCACUUCAGCCUCUAAGAAUCCUAACCAUCUGCUUAUUCAUUACAAUUUUAUCCACAGAUCCUAUUUAACUCCCUGCAGACGCUACCAUAUGUGCCUUAUUGCAUCUCCUCUUUGUAAUUUCUGUUCUGAUGGUACAUAUGAUACAUUUUUACAUAUGUACUGGGAGUGUUUAACUGUGCGUAAGUUUUGGACUAAGGUUUCUUUUACAUUAUCAGACAUUCUCAAUAAAACCACUCCAAAUUCAGUACAAACUUUGCAUUUGUUUGAUGAUUGUUUGAUGAUGAAUGUAAUUUAAAUUGUGCUGAAAAGCGAAUCUGGCUAUCUGGCUAUCUAUGCUCUGCUCACAUGAUGAAACUCAUGUCUGUCAAGACUACCAAGGUUAAGUUAAAGAAAUCAAUCUGGAUAAAGAAAGGCUCUGUUCCUAUACUCCUUUGGUCUUCUGUUAAAUACAGCCUCACUGACCCAAAUGAAGAUUCUUUUCAGAAGAAUUGUAUAUGUGUUUUCAUGGCAAAAAAGGAGACAAAUGAUUGCAAGAACAGUUUGAGCUCUGAAGAAAGCAUAGACAACCAAUCAACAGACUUGUUGGGUACUAGUGAGGUGGACACUUGCUCUGAUGGAGAAUCACAUGAGCAAGUUGAGUUGGAGGUAAAGAAAAGCUCACCUUUUGCAGAUGUGUUGGCCAGCGUUUUUAGCAUGCACAUGAGAGACUGAAGUUUGGAGCUGAUGACAAUGAUGGACCAUGUACUGAAAAUUCAAACUUCUGCCCUGAGCUGGUGGAUUUGUUGGAACGUUACAUGGGCACCAUACCCCUUUUGUCAGGAGUGAUGUUAAAACAAUUUCACAAAACUUGGGAUACAGAUGCCCCAGCAGAAAACUGGUUCCAAAGAACAAAAUGAAUUGCUCUAAGAAACCAGCUACACUGCCAACCUGGAGAUUUCUGACAGAUAAUGUCUGAGUUUGUUGCGGGUAGAGUAUGGGGGAUGACACUAAUGAGUCACAAGAAAAUCAGUAGAUCAGAAAUGAAAGGUCGGAAGGACACCAAUAUGACUGAAGAUCCCUCCCAAAAAGAACCUUUCAUUCAAGAAGUAAAAAAAGGCAAAAGAGAUUGCCCAGGAAAAAGCCAAAGUACUUUACUGAUCCACUGUCAAAAACUGCAACUGAACUAGAGUCUCUAAAGAAUGAAGACCAGUGGAUUGACUGACAUCUUAAAGUGCAUUGGCAUUUCACAAUCAGGCAGUGGACAGAAGGGAAGAUUUUGUGGCUUAGUAACAUUCCAAGAUUUCAAGUAAAGAAAUAUUGGGAUUGUUUUGGUUCAGAAGAGGCCUUCCUAUUAUGCCGUCUCGAUUACCUCCAGGCAACACACUGGGAGAUAACCUGCUCUUCCCAGAGCUGUCCAUUGCUGUCACUGAGAAGAAUGUCAAAUCUACUUGAGGUUUUAUGCAAUGAUUUCACAGCACUGCAGUGUUCAAUUGAUUCCUGGGCAGAAGAUUCCCAAACAGUAUGUGGGCAGAAAAACUACAUCACGACCUUUGCCAUCUGACCUUCAACCAGUGUCAUUGCCAUCAUAAUAACAGAC
Molecule: long non-coding RNA, 3044 nt
Organism: Pygocentrus nattereri (red-bellied piranha)
Lineage: Eukaryota; Metazoa; Chordata; Actinopteri; Characiformes; Serrasalmidae
Exons: 3
Source: RefSeq, a predicted model, not a curated record